CUGUAAAAUCAAAUUUUUUACGAGGACUUAUUGUGAUAGAAAAAGGGAGAAUGGCUCCCAAAACUGGGAGUUGGUUUACCUUCAAUAUAAGGAAGAAAUUACUUACUUUGAGGGUGUUGAGAUGCUGGAAGAGGUUGCCCAGAGAAGUCAUAGUUGCCUCAUCCCUGGCAAAUCUCCACCACAGAGGGACUGGUGAUUGAUUUGCAGUAUUGCAGUCUGUCCAUUAACAUCAUAACUCAGUUCAAAAUGUACAGUCAGUCAUACAGAUUUGGGUUUUUUUCUGUCUGCAGAGUGGCACUCUUAAAAUGUAUUUUUAAAAAAGUCAGAGUAGUUGUUCCUACUAGAGAUGAAGAACAGCACUCUUGCUCUCCGGCUAGCAGCUCAAACAUUUAAACACCCCCAUGCCCCUCAGUGGUCUGCAGUGAUACUGGAUGAGGGAGGACUAUCAGUGACAGCACUGCAUGAGAGAGGUCUGGCAGGGCAGAAAGCUUUAUUUUAUGGGAUCGUGUGGCAGGAAGAGACAGCAAGAUGGUCUAACAUGAAGAAGAAAGGGAAUGUAAACUUCACCAAUGGCUUGGAUUAGCCCAGUUUUCUCUGUGAGAAAAUAAACUUUUGAUGUGGUCUCAGCUGAAGGUGUAAUUUUAUAAAAAUGAAUACUGUGUAAUGCUUGCAAUUCUCUGAGCUGAUACUUGUAUUUCCCAAUAAUUACUGGCUGAGUCAUCAGUUUUAAAGAGUAGCUGUUUGUAAACUGAUACAAAUACAGCGUAAAAAUCACAAGAGAAGAUUAUUUCAUUUCGAUUAUCCUUCCCUCAGAAAGGCAAGUGAAAGUAAAGCUGAAACAGGUACAUAUUUUAGCAAGUGGAGAAUUUGGAGAUUUGAAGAAGAGCUGGAAAUCUGUACUGAAAACUUGAAGUUGCUGCUGUGGCUUAUGGUAACUGGAGAGAAAAUACUAUUAAUAUAUGUGUAAGAAAUAGAUUAACUAUGGCGGGGGCAUACAGUUUUUGCUCUAAAAACAGAUGUUUAUAGUGUUGGGAAGGUAGAAAUUUUCCAUAAAGCUAUUCUGGCACAGAACUGUUCUAAAAGAAAUAGUGUGCUCCAUUACGGUGGCAAAAUAUAUUCUCCUUAAUUGGUAGCAAGGCAGUGUGUUAAACAGCAACUGCUGACAGGAGACGUUGGGGUAGAGUGAAUAACUUGAAUUUAGAAAUAUUAAAUUAAUUACCUUAGGAGCAUUCUGAAUCUGUAAUGUGGAUUUUCAACAAUCAUUGUACAGCUGGGAAAACUUCAAAAGAUUUGAGAGGUUGUGGUGAAGGUUAAGGUCUCAGUAUUUAAGAGAGGGCAAGUAGAGGGACUGAGAGCUGAACCACUGAACGUAACUCCCUGCUCAACCUGCCCUGCAAGUGUUGCAAACCACUCAGGAAGUUGAGCUUGCUGGAGGAUUUAAAUGGAGAGAGGGAGAAGUAGGGCUGAACAUAGGUUUUAGUGUGUCUGCAGAGCUUAAGGAAGGAAUUUGACGGAAGCCCUUCUGGGGGAGAUCGCAGUAUCUUCGAUGCUUACAUCAAACACGUCCUGCUCUCCCCACUGUUUCCUUUUGGGAAGGAAAUAUGGACUGGGAAUCUCAGGUUGAGAGGCUGCUGGUUCCUCAAGUAUCUUGACAAGAGGAAGCCUCAUCUCCCAGCACUAGAGAGUGGCCAGGAUCUGCAGCCAAGUACAGGAAAUCCUGUUUCUCAAUAAAGAUUAAUUUCAUGUCCUGUAAGGUUGCAGCUCACUGAAAGGCUGCUAUACGUCUGCAUUUUUGUUAUGCUAUUCAGCUAUUGUGUUCAGUUUUAGAAAUAAAGGGGAAAAAAUGGGGAAUUUUUUUACAGUAUUUUCCACUACAAUAAAUUCUGGACUGUGCUAAGAUAAGAGAUUUGUGCACAAUUCAUUACUCAAAUUUACUUAACACAUUGUUUUAUCUGCUGAUGCUUUAUAUUUGCUUCUUGCAAUGCUUGAGAAUAUGAAAAAAUCACAAAAUGACUGCUGUUUUACGUGGGUAUAGGGAUUUACAAAAAUUAGAGUGUAGUGGAAAAGAGCAGUCCUUAUUCUUAAAGAGUUCCCAUUUUGCAUAUCUUGGAGCAGGGGGGCAGGGCAGUGAAUGAAACUGAAGAUGCUUGUGUUCCAGUUUAUGUUGUUGAUCCUUAGGAACAGAUGGGUUUUUUAAAAGUGAAGAAAGACAGAAGCCAGCAGCAAUACUUAACAGGCUCUCCAAGUUUAAAUUCUGGCUGCAGAGAUACAUGAAGCUGUGAAAUUGGUUGAAAUUAAAGGAAACACAACGGCAUUCUUUA
Molecule: non-coding RNA, 2321 nt
Organism: Sturnus vulgaris (Common starling)
Lineage: Eukaryota; Metazoa; Chordata; Aves; Passeriformes; Sturnidae
Source: RefSeq, a predicted model, not a curated record